UUGAAUUUUAAUGAAGAGUUUGGUUGUAGCUGGCCCAUUCAUUUGGGCAUGUGCACACCUUCCUCUUUCAUCCCACACACACCUGUGAACCUGUGAGACAGAGAUGGGGAAUUUACUUGCUGCUUUUUGGAAUACAAAGGCAAUAGGUUAUUGGACCCCCCCUCUGUCUACUCAAUUAAUAUAAACUCAAUUUAUUUUAAAACGAAUGUAAUGGAUGUAACACAUCUCAUAC
This 232-nucleotide unclassified non-coding RNA is filed under the name soil metagenome. RNAcentral's name for it is "partial internal transcribed spacer 1". The record is from RNAcentral.